UACGUAGGUGACCAGCGUUGUCCGGAUUUACUGGGCGUAAAGAGCGCGCAGGCGGUCGUUCAAGUCGAGUGUGAAAGCCCCCGGCUCAACUGGGGAGGGUCACUUGAUACUGAUCGACUCGAAGGCAGGAGAGGGAAGCGGAAUUCCAGGUGUAGCGGUGAAAUGCGUAGAUAUCUGGAGGAACACCAGUGGCGAAAGCGCGUGACUGGGCCACAACUGACGCUGAGGAACGAAAGCCAGGGGAGCGAAAGGG
This 253-nucleotide ribosomal RNA is filed under the name uncultured bacterium. RNAcentral describes it as "partial 16S ribosomal RNA". It matches the Rfam family "Bacterial small subunit ribosomal RNA", at positions 524 to 776 of the family's 1533-position model. The record is from RNAcentral.